RNAcentral lists this non-coding RNA (118 nucleotides) under Desulforamulus hydrothermalis. RNAcentral describes it as "Desulfotomaculum hydrothermale MoCo sequence". It matches the Rfam family "Molybdenum/Tungsten riboswitch aptamer (Moco RNA motif)". RNAcentral also lists the same sequence under 1 other name. Lineage: Bacteria; Bacillati; Bacillota; Clostridia; Eubacteriales; Peptococcaceae. The record is from RNAcentral.
CAACGAACUUGUCUCCGAGCCGUUAGAUCUAAAGCAUAAGCCAUGAUCUCCCGGCCGUUAGGGUUCACCGGGAAACCGGUGGGCCUCCCGUGAGGAAAGGAGUACGGUAAAUACUUGG